Molecule: unclassified non-coding RNA, 45 nt
Filed under: Bacillus velezensis
Lineage: Bacteria; Bacillati; Bacillota; Bacilli; Caryophanales; Bacillaceae
Description: U7
Source: RNAcentral
CCUUUCAAAUUUUUUGAAACAGGUUUGUUAUUAUGACAAACCCUC